Ceratitis capitata (Mediterranean fruit fly) is the source of this 426-nucleotide long non-coding RNA. RefSeq lists it as uncharacterized. Lineage: Eukaryota; Metazoa; Arthropoda; Insecta; Diptera; Tephritidae. The record is from RefSeq and is a predicted model, not a curated record. The transcript is spliced from 3 exons.
AAAAUACUUGUAUGCUUAAACAAAGUCUUGUCGCAAAGAGAAAGCCAAAUUUCAAGAGUUACUUGCACAGCUUUGGUUAUCUGUUUUGCCAUUAAUAAUUUAGCUUAACGAGUUGCCUACAUACCUCAUUAACAUUUCCUUCUACAUUACUCUAGUGAAUUAGUGUACGCGUCAAAAUAAUCCCAGAGGACAAUAGCAACGAGCAGUCAACAGCAACACAUGGCGAAUAAUUGCAAAUGCAGGCACAUCAAAGCAAUCAAAGCGUGGAAAUUCACCCUCAUUACAAUAUUUGUUGGCCAUUAUAUUGCUACACCACCAUAACAACAACAACGAAAGUCACCAACUGCCCAAAUAAUACCAAAUUAAUUAACGCAAUGCAAAUGACGAAAGAAAAGCAAAAAAAAAUGAAAAACCAAAAAAAAAAAA